This 287-nucleotide ribosomal RNA is filed under the name uncultured bacterium. RNAcentral's name for it is "partial 16S ribosomal RNA". It matches the Rfam family "Bacterial small subunit ribosomal RNA", at positions 331 to 617 of the family's 1533-position model. The record is from RNAcentral.
UCAGACCUACGGGAGGCAGCAGUGAGGAAUAUUGGUCAAUGGACGGAAGUCUGAACCAGCCAUGCCGCGUGCAGGAAGACGGCUCUAUGAGUUGUAAACUGCUUUUGUACAAGGGUAAACCUGAAUACGUGUAUUCAGCUGAAAGUACUGUACGAAUAAGGAUCGGCUAACUCCGUGCCAGCAGCCGCGGUAAUACGGAGGAUCCAAGCGUUAUCCGGAUUCAUUGGGUUUAAAGGGUGCGUAGGUUGUUUUAUAGGUUAGCGGUGAAAUACCGAUGCUCAACAUCG